This is a long non-coding RNA of Papaver somniferum (opium poppy), 1504 nucleotides long. RefSeq lists it as uncharacterized. The record is from RefSeq and is a predicted model, not a curated record. NCBI's taxonomy places the organism in Eukaryota, Viridiplantae, Streptophyta, Magnoliopsida, Ranunculales, Papaveraceae. The transcript is spliced from 6 exons.
ACAAACUCUCUCACGACUAACAGGGGAUUUGCUAACUCCAUUAAAAUCUCUCAAACUUUCCCACGACUACCCCUGUUCGUAUUGAACCCUAGAAUAUAAAUUUUUUCGACAUAAUCUCUAGCAAACUAAUCUCUUUAAUCUCUGUAUGACAUCUUGCUGACAAGUCCAAGAAGAUGAGUUUAUGAGACCCUGGAUUCCUUGUUUAUGCUAAUGAUAUAUUGAGAAGAUUAGUCCAAAGCAGAGAAGCAGGAAGAAUUAGAUUUUCGGGGUUCUCAAGCAGAAUGGCUUGUGGUAGCCUGAAGAUUCGCAUUGCUAGAGUAUGAGAGAUCCAUCCCUUUUAUCUUUAAGUGAAAUUGAGUACACUUAAAAGUUUGAGGCAGCUGACCUAAAAUUUGUGGUGGGGAUGAAAGUGGAAAGUACUGGAGGUCUUAUAUUAUAUUGCCAGCGAGCGGGGCAGUUGCAAGCGUACAUUGACAAGCAGCAACAUGGAAACUAGGACAGAGGUUGAUUUUCUUCGGUCGUCGUCUGAUACUUUUCAUGGUACGCUAGUUAGAGUAUGGGUCAAUCUUGAAGUGCUUACAUAUGGUACUCUGCUUAUGUUAUUAUAAAUACUGAUUAGUGGACAUCUUGUUACUUGUUCAUCAUGCAAGUAUGAAUUUGGUACUUGCAGUUUCAAAUCUAUACGUUUUGGAUUUAGGAAAUAUCAUUAGUGCACUAUAGUCAACACUAAAGGCACCUAUGAAACUGGUGGAUCCAUAAAGUAAAAUUCUGUGUAAUACAGACUAUACAGUUUGUUUAACUUUUCUCUUUUGCAUGGGCAAGCGGCAUCCUAGCGACAGUUUGGAGGAGCUCUUGCAGUGUGAGUGAGGACAUGCAUCUGCAGUAAACAAGACCUAGAGUAGUCACGCCCUUUCUUCUGUCCGAUGCGGAUGCGUUUACAUGUUUUGACACUUACUGAUUAUAUUGAUGUCUUUGUUAUUAACUCUAGUAGAAUUCAUAUAUCGUUGAUUUGGUUCUACGUAUGGAUUUCUGUUUUGUAGUUUGAUUCUUCACAAGACUAAACUUUGUGUUGUUGCACUUGCUCCAUUCAAGGCUUACGAAGGAAACUUCUGGGGUGCCAAAACAAUCCCAAGCACAGCAUGAGAUGCUCAACAUGCUGAAGCCAUGGCUCUUCUUGCAGCCAUACUAUGGGCUAGCGAGCUGGAACUACAGUUUACUUCGUACGGGACUGGAGCUAUUACCAACUCUAUCAAUGCUUCUAAGUCUAGUGUUUAGCGGACUACUAUCGUUCUGAAGAUGAAUGCUAUGCUAUUAGUGUUCAAAUCAGCAUAGUUAACCAUUGUUAUAGUGGUUUCUGUCAUGUUUUUUGGAUUUUUGGUGUAGUUAAUGUUGAUAGUAUUGAAUAUUCGAAAUAAAAUAGUCUUCAGGUUUCUGUGCAUGGACAUGAAUCAAUUUAUUUUGCAACAUUUGAUUAAGUCUUAUUUGGAAUAAAAUUUCUGUUAAU